AGACCCCUGGGCUAACAGCCCAAGGGACGCACCUCAAUGGCCCCCACCUGUGUCUGUAUCAGCACUCCUGGACCAGCUCAGAACAACCGCCCCCACCAAUGUCUCAGUCUCCAGAGAGGAUCCUCCUCUCACCAAGAUGCCCCCAGAGCCCACCAGUUUUCAAUCCAGGGUGAUUCUUCCCAAAAUUGUAACCUGGUUGUGUUCGUGGGAGGAGGCGAGUUCAACGUCUGGUCACAGUGCCAUCUUGACGAGAACUCCUCAAAGGACAAGCGUGGCUGUAUGGAAAUGGAGACUAGAGGUUACAUCUGAGGGGCACUUCACAAAAGGAAUGAUGAAAUUUUGUGACAAAUUGGUCACAGGGCUGAGUGAAAAGACUAAAGUGAAAGAUGUCUUCAAAUUUUCUCAACUGGGAGACCAGAAGAGUUCCAGUGCCCUUGAGUGAAAUGGUAAAGUUGGAAGGAAAUUCACUUUGAAAGAAAAUGAAUAAAAAGGGUUCCUACAGAUAACAUCUCCCUGGAGCCUGGGUCACCAUGGUAAUGGGUGUGUGAGCUGUCUUUCAGGAAUUAGAACUCCUUGUCUACUUCAGGCCCGUUGAGACCACCAACUCAUCAACUGGGCCCACGCAGAUGUCCGAUAGGUGACCUUUUGACGUCAGGAGGCUAAAAACUCCACCCUCAGAUCAUGCUAAUGCCACCAUUUUGUGAACGUGGGUCCUAUGAAGAGGCAUAAAGUCUGACUUUGCUUGCACAGAUCAUCAAUUUCCUCGCCUCCAAUCACCUCUCUCCACAUUUCAAGCCAC
RNAcentral lists this long non-coding RNA (799 nucleotides) under Equus caballus (horse). RNAcentral describes it as "lncRNA (ENSECAG00000044754.1)". Lineage: Eukaryota; Metazoa; Chordata; Mammalia; Perissodactyla; Equidae. The record is from RNAcentral.